This 1508-nucleotide ribosomal RNA is filed under the name uncultured prokaryote. RNAcentral's name for it is "partial 16S ribosomal RNA". It matches the Rfam family "Bacterial small subunit ribosomal RNA". The record is from RNAcentral.
GGAUUAGGCAUGCAAGUCGAACGAGAAAGGUUCCUUCGGGGACCUAGUACAGUGGCGAAAGGGGGAGUAAUGCAUGGAUGACUUACCCUCGAGACGGGGACAACAGCUCGAAAGGGCUGCUAAUACCCGAUAGUUCCUGUUGCCCAAGGGCUUCAGGAUAAAUGGUGCUUCCGCUCGAGGAGAGGUCCAUAGCCUAUCAGCUUGUUGGCGGGGUAAUGGCCUACCAAGGCUUUGACGGGUAGCCGGACUGAGAGGUUGACCGGCCACACUGGGACUGAGACACUGCCCAGACUCCUACGGGAGGCUGCAGUCGAGAAUCUUCCGCAAUGGGCGAAAGUCUGACGGAGCGACGCCGCGUGCAGGAUGAAGGCCCUCGGGUUGUAAACUGCUGUCACACGUUAAGAAACGCUGUGUUUAAUCACAGUUUGACAAAAGCAUCAGAGGAAGCCACGGCUAACUUCGUGCCAGCAGCCGCGGUAAGACGAAGGUGGCAAGCGUUGUUCGGAAUCACUGGGCAUAAAGCGCGCGUAGGUGGCUUAGCAAGCGGGGAAUGAAAUCCCAUGGCUCACCCAUGGAACUGCCGUUGAAACUGCCAAACUUGAGUACGGGAGGGGAGAGUGGAACUCUUGGUGUAGCGGUGAAAUGCGUAGAUAUCUGGAGGAACGCCGGAGGCGAAAGCGACUCUCUGGUCCGCAACUGACGCUGAGGUGCGAAAGCUAGGGGAGCGAACAGGAUUAGAUACCCUGGUAGUCCUAGCCGUAAACGAUGGGCACUAAGUAGGGGGGCUUCCUAUGUCUUCCCUGCCGAAGCAAAUGUAUUAAGUGCCCCGCCUGGGGAGUAUGGUCGCAAGGCUAAAACUCAAAGGAAUUGACGGGGGCUCACACAAGCGGUGGAGGAUGUGGUUUAAUUCGAAGCAACGCGCAGAACCUUACCCGGGUUUGAAAUGCAGGGAUUAGGCUCCUGAAAGGGAGUUGACGCCGCAAGGUGGAACUAUCACAGGUGUUGCAUGGCUGUCGUCAGCUCGUGUCGUGAGAUGUCGGGUUAAGUCCCUUAACGAGCGAAACCCUUGUCAUUAGUUGCCAGCGAGUAAAGUCGGGGACUCUAAUGAGACUGCCGUUGUUAAAACGGAGGAAGGUGGGGAUGACGUCAAGUCAUCAUGGCCUUUAUGUCCGGGGCUACACACGUCCCACAAUGGCCGAUACAAAGGGAAGCGAAACCGCAAGGUCAAGCAAAUCCCACAAAGUCGGUCCCAGUUCGGAUUGCGGGCUGCAAUUCGCCCGCAUGAAGUCGGAAUCGCUAGUAAUCGCGGAUCAGCUACGCCGCGGUGAAUAUGUUCCUGAGCCUUGUACACACCGCCCGUCAAGCCACGAAAGCUGAUAGUACCUGAAGUCGUGUACCUAACUCGAACCUUCGGGAACGGGAGGGAAGCGCCCACGGUAAAACUAGUGAUUGGGACUAAGUCGUAACAAGGUAGCCGUAGGGGAACCUGUGGCUGGAUCACCUCCUUU